GUAGGGUGCAAGCGUUAAUCGGAAUUACUGGGCGUAAAGCGUGCGCAGGCGGUUUUGUAAGUCUGUCGUGAAAUCCCCGGGCUCAACCUGGGAAUUGCGAUGGAGACUGCAAGGCUAGAAUCUGGCAGAGGGGGUAGAAUUCCACGUGUAGCAGUGAAAUGCGUAGAGAUGUGGAGGAACACCGAUGGCGAAGGCAGCCCCCUGGGUCAAGAUUGACGCUCAUGCACGAAAGCGUGGGGAGCAAACAGGAUUGGAUACCCUGGUAGUCCACGCCCUAAACGAUGUCUACUAGUUGUCGGGUUUUAAUUAACUUGGUAACGCAGCUAACGCGUGAAGUAGACCGCCUGGGGAGUACGGUCGCAAGAUUA
This 368-nucleotide ribosomal RNA is filed under the name uncultured organism. Its description in RNAcentral is "bacterial SSU rRNA". It matches the Rfam family "Bacterial small subunit ribosomal RNA", at positions 527 to 896 of the family's 1533-position model. The record is from RNAcentral.